UCCUUUGUGGCCGAGUGGUUAAGGAUUUGGCAUUGUCAUUGCUGUGGCUCAGGUUUGAUCCCUGACCUGGGAA
RNAcentral lists this transfer RNA (73 nucleotides) under Sus scrofa (pig). It matches the Rfam family "tRNA". Rfam says of the family: Transfer RNA (tRNA) molecules are approximately 80 nucleotides in length. Their secondary structure includes four short double-helical elements and three loops (D, anti-codon, and T loops). Lineage: Eukaryota; Metazoa; Chordata; Mammalia; Artiodactyla; Suidae. The record is from Rfam by way of RNAcentral.